GGGUUGUGAGGUUAAGCGACUAAGCGUACACGGUGGAUGCCCUGGCAGUCAGAGGCGAUGAAGGACGUGCUAAUCUGCGAUAAGCGUCGGUAAGGUGAUAUGAACCGUUAUAACCGGCGAUUUCCGAAUGGGGAAACCCAGUGUGUUUCGACACACUAUCAUUAACUGAAUCCAUAGGUUAAUGAGGCGAACCGGGGGAACUGAAACAUCUAAGUACCCCGAGGAAAAGAAAUCAACCGAGAUUCCCCCAGUAGCGGCGAGCGAACGGGGAGCAGCCCAGAGCCUGAAUCAGUGUGUGUGUUAGUGGAAGCGUCUGGAAAGGCGCGCGAUACAGGGUGACAGCCCCGUACACAAAAAUGCACAUACUGUGAGCUCGAUGAGUAGGGCGGGACACGUGGUAUCCUGUCUGAAUAUGGGGGGACCAUCCUCCAAGGCUAAAUACUCCUGACUGACCGAUAGUGAACCAGUACCGUGAGGGAAAGGCGAAAAGAACCCCGGCGAGGGGAGUGAAAAAGAACCUGAAACCGUGUACGUACAAGCAGUGGGAGCCUCUUUUAUGGGGUGACUGCGUACCUUUUGUAUAAUGGGUCAGCGACUUAUAUUCUGUAGCAAGGUUAACCGAAUAGGGGAGCCGAAGGGAAACCGAGUCUUAACUGGGCGUUAAGUUGCAGGGUAUAGACCCGAAACCCGGUGAUCUAGCCAUGGGCAGGUUGAAGGUUGGGUAACACUAACUGGAGGACCGAACCGACUAAUGUUGAAAAAUUAGCGGAUGACUUGUGGCUGGGGGUGAAAGGCCAAUCAAACCGGGAGAUAGCUGGUUCUCCCCGAAAGCUAUUUAGGUAGCGCCUCGUGAAUUCAUCUCCGGGGGUAGAGCACUGUUUCGGCAAGGGGGUCAUCCCGACUUACCAACCCGAUGCAAACUGCGAAUACCGGAGAAUGUUAUCACGGGAGACACACGGCGGGUGCUAACGUCCGUCGUGAAGAGGGAAACAACCCAGACCGCCAGCUAAGGUCCCAAAGUCAUGGUUAAGUGGGAAACGAUGUGGGAAGGCCCAGACAGCCAGGAUGUUGGCUUAGAAGCAGCCAUCAUUUAAAGAAAGCGUAAUAGCUCACUGGUCGAGUCGGCCUGCGCGGAAGAUGUAACGGGGCUAAACCAUGCACCGAAGCUGCGGCAGCGACACUGUGUGUUGUUGGGUAGGGGAGCGUUCUGUAAGCCUGUGAAGGUGUACUGUGAGGUAUGCUGGAGGUAUCAGAAGUGCGAAUGCUGACAUAAGUAACGAUAAAGCGGGUGAAAAGCCCGCUCGCCGGAAGACCAAGGGUUCCUGUCCAACGUUAAUCGGGGCAGGGUGAGUCGACCCCUAAGGCGAGGCCGAAAGGCGUAGUCGAUGGGAAACAGGUUAAUAUUCCUGUACUUGGUGUUACUGCGAAGGGGGGACGGAGAAGGCUAUGUUGGCCGGGCGACGGUUGUCCCGGUUUAAGCGUGUAGGCUGGUUUUCCAGGCAAAUCCGGAAAAUCAAGGCUGAGGCGUGAUGACGAGGCACUACGGUGCUGAAGCAACAAAUGCCCUGCUUCCAGGAAAAGCCUCUAAGCAUCAGGUAACAUCAAAUCGUACCCCAAACCGACACAGGUGGUCAGGUAGAGAAUACCAAGGCGCUUGAGAGAACUCGGGUGAAGGAACUAGGCAAAAUGGUGCCGUAACUUCGGGAGAAGGCACGCUGAUAUGUAGGUGAAGCGACUUGCUCGUGGAGCUGAAAUCAGUCGAAGAUACCAGCUGGCUGCAACUGUUUAUUAAAAACACAGCACUGUGCAAACACGAAAGUGGACGUAUACGGUGUGACGCCUGCCCGGUGCCGGAAGGUUAAUUGAUGGGGUUAGCGCAAGCGAAGCUCUUGAUCGAAGCCCCGGUAAACGGCGGCCGUAACUAUAACGGUCCUAAGGUAGCGAAAUUCCUUGUCGGGUAAGUUCCGACCUGCACGAAUGGCGUAAUGAUGGCCAGGCUGUCUCCACCCGAGACUCAGUGAAAUUGAACUCGCUGUGAAGAUGCAGUGUACCCGCGGCAAGACGGAAAGACCCCGUGAACCUUUACUAUAGCUUGACACUGAACAUUGAGCCUUGAUGUGUAGGAUAGGUGGGAGGCUUUGAAGUGUGGACGCCAGUCUGCAUGGAGCCGACCUUGAAAUACCACCCUUUAAUGUUUGAUGUUCUAACGUUGACCCGUGAUCCGGGUUGCGGACAGUGUCUGGUGGGUAGUUUGACUGGGGCGGUCUCCUCCUAAAGAGUAACGGAGGAGCACGAAGGUUGGCUAAUCCUGGUCGGACAUCAGGAGGUUAGUGCAAUGGCAUAAGCCAGCUUGACUGCGAGCGUGACGGCGCGAGCAGGUGCGAAAGCAGGUCAUAGUGAUCCGGUGGUUCUGAAUGGAAGGGCCAUCGCUCAACGGAUAAAAGGUACUCCGGGGAUAACAGGCUGAUACCGCCCAAGAGUUCAUAUCGACGGCGGUGUUUGGCACCUCGAUGUCGGCUCAUCACAUCCUGGGGCUGAAGUAGGUCCCAAGGGUAUGGCUGUUCGCCAUUUAAAGUGGUACGCGAGCUGGGUUUAGAACGUCGUGAGACAGUUCGGUCCCUAUCUGCCGUGGGCGCUGGAGAAUUGAGGGGGGCUGCUCCUAGUACGAGAGGACCGGAGUGGACGCAUCACUGGUGUUCGGGUUGUCAUGCCAAUGGCACUGCCCGGUAGCUAAAUGCGGAAGAGAUAAGUGCUGAAAGCAUCUAAGCACGAAACUUGCCCCGAGAUGAGUUCUCCCUGACCCUUUAAGGGUCCUGAAGGAACGUUGAAGACGACGACGUUGAUAGGCCGGGUGUGUAAGCGCAGCGAUGCGUUGAGCUAACCGGUACUAAUGAACCGUGAGGCUUAACCUUACAACGCCGAAGCUGUU
This 2929-nucleotide ribosomal RNA is filed under the name Escherichia coli. Its description in RNAcentral is "23S ribosomal RNA". It matches the Rfam family "Bacterial large subunit ribosomal RNA". Lineage: Bacteria; Pseudomonadati; Pseudomonadota; Gammaproteobacteria; Enterobacterales; Enterobacteriaceae. The record is from RNAcentral.